Molecule: ribosomal RNA, 375 nt
Filed under: Schizophyllum sp. BAB-4004
Lineage: Eukaryota; Fungi; Basidiomycota; Agaricomycetes; Agaricales; Schizophyllaceae
Description: eukaryotic LSU rRNA
Rfam family: 5.8S ribosomal RNA (bases 1-85)
Source: RNAcentral
AAUUGCAGAAUUCAGUGAAUCAUCGAAUCUUUGAACGCACCUUGCGCCCUUUGGUAUUCCGAGGGGCAUGCCUGUUUGAGUGUCAUUAAAUACCAUCAACCCUCUUUUGACUUCGGUCUCGAGAGUGGCUUGGAAGUGGAGGUCUGCUGGAGCCUAACGGAGCCAGCUCCUCUUAAAUGUAUUAGCGGAUUUCCCUUGCGGGAUCGCGUCUCCGAUGUGAUAAUUUCUACGUCGUUGACCAUCUCGGGGCUGACCUAGUCAGUUUCAAUAGGAGUCUGCUUCUAACCGUCUCUUGACUGAGACUAGCGACUUGUGCGCUAACUUUUGACUUGACCUCAAAUCAGGUAGGACUACCCGCUGAACUUAAGCAUAUCA